This 441-nucleotide long non-coding RNA is filed under the name Lactuca sativa (garden lettuce). Its description in RNAcentral is "long non-coding RNA (LSAT_LNC000154)". Lineage: Eukaryota; Viridiplantae; Streptophyta; Magnoliopsida; Asterales; Asteraceae. The record is from RNAcentral.
CUAGCUUCUUGCUAGUUCUUUUUCAUUUUGUGUUUUUUAAUAUAUUCGUCGAUAGAGUGAGAGAUAGGUCUCAUACUGCCUCUUAAGGUUAGUUCUAUGCCUCACAACAACUACCUCAGAUUCUAAAUCCGUCUUUAGAUCAGAAGUAGAUGCCUCUUCCAGGGCUCUGUUUAGGCCUUUCUCGUAUAAGCAGAUGAAAGGAAGUUGAGAAGCUUGUUGACUAGCUUCUUGCUAGUUCUUUUCAUUUUGUGUUUUUUAAUAUAUUCGUCGAUAGAGUGAGAGAUAGGUCUCAUACUGCCUCUUAAGGUUAGUUCUAUGCCUCACAACAACUACCUCAGAUUCUAAAUCCGUCUUUAGAUCAGAAGUAGAUGCCUCUUCCAGGGCUCUGUUUAGGCCUUUCUUGUAUAAGCAGAUGAAAGGAAGUUGAGAAGCUUGUUGACU